UACGGGGGGGACGAGCGUUGUUCGGAUUUACUGGGCGUAAAGGGCGCGUAGGCGGACUUUCAAGUCGGAAGUGAAAACCGGAGGCUUAACCUCAGGCUUGCUUUCGAUACUGUCAGUCUUGAGUACAGGAGAGGAAAGCGGAAUUCCAGGUGUAGCGGUGAAAUGCGUAGAUAUCUGGAAGAACACCAGUAGCGAAGGCGGCUUUCUGGUCUGAUACUGACGCUAAAGUGCGAAGGCUAGGGGAGCAAACAGG
Molecule: ribosomal RNA, 253 nt
Filed under: uncultured bacterium
Lineage: Bacteria
Description: partial 16S ribosomal RNA
Rfam family: Bacterial small subunit ribosomal RNA
Source: RNAcentral